RNAcentral lists this unclassified non-coding RNA (230 nucleotides) under Streptococcus pneumoniae ATCC 700669. Its description in RNAcentral is "T-box leader". The stretch from base 1 to 201 matches the Rfam family "T-box leader", at positions 24 to 219 of the family's 219-position model. From Rfam's summary of the family: Uncharged tRNA acts as the effector for transcription antitermination of genes in the T-box leader family. T-boxes are found upstream of many aminoacyl-tRNA synthetase genes and some amino acid biosynthetic genes usually in Gram-positive bacteria. Lineage: Bacteria; Bacillati; Bacillota; Bacilli; Lactobacillales; Streptococcaceae. The record is from RNAcentral.
UAAUCAUACAAACUUUUUAGAGAGUCUGUGGUAGCUGAAAACAGAUAAGUGGCGAUGAUGAAAAUUGGGCUGAAUGCUAUUUAGAAUUUGAAAUUAUAAAAAUUCGGUAAGCACACCUUACAGUGCAUCUCGUUAUUGCGAGACUGAGCGAUAGGGAAAUUCCCUAUAAUUGAGGUGGUACCGCGCAUCGACGUCCUCACACAAGUUUUUUGUGUGAGGAUUUUUUUGAU